UUAAACGCUAGCGUGGAAUGCCUUACACACUGCAAGGUCGAACGGCAAGCAACGGGACUUUCGGGUCUGGGUUGGGCCGAAAGUGGGCGAAACGGGGGUUGAAAGUUAAUUGUUAUCCGGGGAACGUGCCCCAAGUUAGCCGGGGGGGAAUAACUACGCCGAAAAGCCGUUAGCUAAAUACCCCCAUACCCCCCCUUAACGGG
Molecule: ribosomal RNA, 203 nt
Filed under: Legionella sp. TERI 1005
Lineage: Bacteria; Pseudomonadati; Pseudomonadota; Gammaproteobacteria; Legionellales; Legionellaceae
Description: partial 16S ribosomal RNA
Source: RNAcentral